This 253-nucleotide ribosomal RNA is filed under the name uncultured bacterium. RNAcentral's name for it is "partial 16S ribosomal RNA". It matches the Rfam family "Bacterial small subunit ribosomal RNA", at positions 524 to 776 of the family's 1533-position model. The record is from RNAcentral.
UACGAGGGGGGCGAGCGUUGUUCGGAAUUAUUGGGCGUAAAGGGUGCGUAGGCGGCCUGACAAGUCUGAUGUGAAAUCCCUGGGCUCAACCCAGGGCCUGCAUCGGAAACUGUCGGGCUUGAGUAUGGGAGAGGUGAGUGGAAUUUCCGGUGUAGCGGUGAAAUGCGUAGAGAUUAGGAAGAACACCAGUGGCGAAGGCGACUUACUGGACUGUAACUGACGCUGAGGCAUGAAAGCGUGGGGAGCAAACAGG